Molecule: unclassified non-coding RNA, 262 nt
Filed under: uncultured bacterium
Lineage: Bacteria
Description: contains 16S-23S intergenic spacer region
Source: RNAcentral
UCCGAGUUGACCCCGGCAGUCUCCUAUGAGUCCCCACCAUUACGUGCUGGCAACAUAGGACGAGGGUUGCGCUCGUUGCGGGACUUAACCCAACAUCUCACGACACGAGCUGACGACAGCCAUGCAGCACCUGUGUUCAGGUUCCCUUUCGGGCACCAGGGCAUCUCUGCCCCGUCCCUGACAUGUCAAGGGUAGGUAAGGUUUUUCGCUUUGCAUCGAAUUAAACCACAUGCUCCACCGCUUGUGCGGGCCCCCGUCAAUU